Apodemus sylvaticus (European woodmouse) is the source of this 107-nucleotide small nuclear RNA. The record is from RefSeq and is a predicted model, not a curated record. NCBI's taxonomy places the organism in Eukaryota, Metazoa, Chordata, Mammalia, Rodentia, Muridae.
AUGCUCACUUCUGCAGCACAUAUACUAAAACUGGAACAAUACAGAGAGUAUUAGCAUGGCCCCUAUGCAAGGAUGACACACAAAUUGGUGAAACUUUCCAUAUUUUU